GGACGAACGCUGGCGGCGUGCUUAACACAUGCAAGUCGAACGGAAAGGCCCUUCGGGGUACUCGAGUGGCGAACGGGUGAGUAACACGUGGGUGAUCUGCCUCGUACUCUGGGAUAAGCCUGGGAAACUGGGUCUAAUACUGGAUAGGACCUUCCCUCGCAUGGGGGUUGGUGGAAAGUUUUUCGGUACGAGAUGGGCCCGCGGCCUAUCAGCUUGUUGGUGGGGUAAUGGCCUACCAAGGCGACGACGGGUAGCCGGCCUGAGAGGGCGACCGGCCACACUGGGACUGAGACACGGCCCAGACUCCUACGGGAGGCAGCAGUGGGGAAUAUUGCACAAUGGGCGCAAGCCUGAUGCAGCGACGCCGCGUGAGGGAUGACGGCCUUCGGGUUGUAAACCUCUUUCACCAGGGGCGAAUUURGGACGGUACCUGGAGAAGAAGCACCGGCCAACUAC
Molecule: ribosomal RNA, 456 nt
Filed under: Williamsia deligens
Lineage: Bacteria; Bacillati; Actinomycetota; Actinomycetes; Mycobacteriales; Nocardiaceae
Description: bacterial SSU rRNA
Rfam family: Bacterial small subunit ribosomal RNA
Source: RNAcentral